This 329-nucleotide ribosomal RNA is filed under the name uncultured eukaryote. Its description in RNAcentral is "partial 18S ribosomal RNA". It matches the Rfam family "Eukaryotic small subunit ribosomal RNA", at positions 1470 to 1796 of the family's 1831-position model. The record is from RNAcentral.
CCCUUAGAUGUUCUGGGCCGCACGCGCGCUACACUGACAGAGCCAACGAGUUCUUUCCCUUGGCCGGAAGGUCUGGGUAAUCUUGUUAAACUCUGUCGUGCUGGGGAUAGAGCAUUGCAAUUAUUGCUCUUCAACGAGGAAUGCCUAGUAAGCGCGUGUCAUCAGCACGCGUUGAUUACGUCCCUGCCCUUUGUACACACCGCCCGUCGCUACUACCGAUUGAAUGGCUCAGUGAGGCCUUCGGACUGGCUCGAGGAGGUUGGCAACGACCACCUCAAGCCGGAAAGUUGGUCAAACUCGGUCAUUUAGAGGAAGUAAAAGUCGUANCA